AUUCCCCAUAAUUAAGCAUCACACCUCGUAAUAUCCUAUCCUAAAAUCAAGGAGAAUGAAAUCCCAGGAGCCGCCCCUCCCCAUUAAUCCUGCCAUAGCCAUACUCAUCGAGCGAAUCGACCCAUCGGCCAUCGUCCUGCAGGUGCCUCCGCGAGCAUGGAACCGGCGACGUCACCACCGGCCUCGAACUCCUGCCUCUAGAUCCUCCUCCAGCCCUCCCCAACUUUGCGUCGCGGCUUGCCGGCAGUGGGCACGGCGGUGUUGUGGUGGUGACGACUGACGAGCGCGCCGGCAAGAGGGCCAAGCCAUGGCUGGAAUCCCACCGCGACAAUCAAUGGCUUCUCAAGAUGGAGACGAAGGCUCGGCUGUGGCUGGUGCAGGGAAUUUUACCUCAGCUGAUCCUUCGUCUCAACGUGCUACACCAAUAUCUUUAGCUACUCCGAUAUCUCAAGCUGCUACUCCAACAUCUCAAGCUGCUACUGUAACAUCUCAAGCUACAUCUAGCAGAGCUGGUUCUAAGAGGAAGCGAACAUCGACAGUAUGGGAUGAGAUGGAAGAGAAAUUAGAAAAUGGACAACUGAAAGCCGAGUGCAAUCAUUGUCACAGAAAAUUUACUGCAGGACCUAGAGUUGGCACAACUCACUUGCGUGUACAUUUGGAAUCUUAUCCUGCUAAGCAUGCACCCAUUGGUCCACAACAACAAAAAUUGAGGUUGACCAAAGGUGAAGGUGGCAAAGUGAAUAUGGAAAAUGUCAUUUUUGACCAAGAGAAGGCUAGGAGAGAUCUUGCAUUGAUGAUAUGUGAACAUGAGUAUCCUCUAUCUAUUGUGGAUCAUAGUGGUUUUUGUAGAUUCUACACUCUUUGCGACAUUUCAGAGUGUUCUCGAGGAUGAAGAAGAGGAGAUGGAUGCGUCUACUUCAAUCAUCACCCAAUAGUGAAGAUAUUGCUGCUGUUUGUGCUUGGUUGGAACUUGGAAGCUGAUGGCUACUAUUUAUGCUGGUUGGUGGCUCGUGUCUGCUAUCUACUGUAGCUGCUCUUUGUGUUGGCUCAUCGGUGCCUCGGAUGUUUUUAGUUAUUACUUGUCGGAUGUUAUUUGGUGAAGUGUGUCGUGAGUUUGUGAACCUAUGUUAAAGUUCAACAAUUGUCAAUUUGAAUUGAGAUAA
Triticum aestivum (bread wheat) is the source of this 1163-nucleotide long non-coding RNA. RefSeq lists it as uncharacterized. The transcript has 3 exons. The record is from RefSeq and is a predicted model, not a curated record. NCBI's taxonomy places the organism in Eukaryota, Viridiplantae, Streptophyta, Magnoliopsida, Poales, Poaceae.